GUGCAGUAGCUGUUAGUAUUUUCUUUCUGAGAAAUGGCAUGAAAAGAGAUUAAGCUCCACUUGUCUGUGUUGUCUCUCAUUUCCAGUUGAACUUUUUUCUAUUGUAGAAAAUAUCUAAUUCCUUCUCUGAUAGAACAUUAUGAUUCACAGCAGAAAGCAUGGGAUCUUUUACUUAAAAAUACAUAUCCAAAAUUAUAUAAGCAGAGGUCCAGCAUGAUAGAUAAAGAUAACAGGAUUAAUAAAUCCUGUGUUUGUUUCAGUACCCGUAUUGUAUAUUUCUGAUUCUUAGUCUGUGCUCGGUAAUGCAGUGUGAUGUUCCAGGUUCUUGAAGUAGAAGCAAAGGAUAUAACCAAUAUAGAGGGGAUGGCACAGUGGGAGAUUUCAAAUAAACUGCUGGAGGUACAGUUUUCUGGCACUAAUCAAAUUCUCUUGACUAAAAAUACUGGUCUGCUUUUAUUUCAGCAUCUCACUUGGAAAAAAACACUGACCUGCCCUGGAAAAGGAAGUGGCAUUAUAGUAAUGAAGAAAGAGGAUUGAUGAGAAUAUAUUUGCUCUCAAACAUGAUUCCCAAAUUUGGGCUACUGUCUCAGUCACUUAAGCCCCUCAAGUGAGACCAUGACCCAGAAAAACAAUCCUAUCAUUCCCCCGUCACAUAUUUCCACUGCUUCUCUUGAGCUAGUAAUGACAUCAGCACACAUUAUUUGGUAAGCUGGGUUAGAAACUAUUUGAAAACCUUUUGGGCUCAGUUAGCUUCUACCAACCCAGGCUCCUAAUGUAGUUUCCUAUGUGGCCACACAAAUAAUAAUGUUGUCAGAGAGGAGCAGACACGAUCAUGCACGUGGAACAUCAGGACAGCCAGUUUUAUAACAGUGCACAUGUGAUUUAGAUAUAUGAUAGCAUGUUUUGGCUUUCUGGGGUGAUCUAUGUAAAAGUUAAACUGUAUCAUCUAAGGAAACGAAAGUUCACAACUUGUGCAUUUAUGUGCAGAAGGAAACAAUACAAUUAUUUUCUUUCCUCUGGUCACGUACUGUGGUUGCUUACAGGGAAAGGAAAGAGGGACAGUUUUGUGUCCAUAUGUGUUUGCCAUUUUGAAAUAAUUUGUGUACUUUUAGCAGGAUCUAGGGAUUCUGUAUAUUGGAAACUUCUUUUGUAGGGUGAGAUUUUCAAUGGUGCAAGUUAAAGUUAGGCUAUUGAUUCUGGUUUACUUUCACUGGCAGUGAGGCAUUUACUGCCAAAGUACAGGGUGGCAAAUCUGCCUUCUGAAGUUACCCUCUUGGAUACAUUCAAGUGUUGUUGUCAUUGGGCCUAAGUGAUUUGAUGCAGGGUCAGUGGAAAUACACUUUAUGAAAUGACCUGUUCUGUAUGAAAAAAAAAAAAGAGUAUUCCUAAUAAAUACAGAUGUGCUGAAGCUGAGCAGUGACUGUUAGAGAGAUGAUGGAGUGAAUAGCUGCUCAGGUCUUGGAGUUGUUGGGAAUCUCCCUAUUGACAGACCUUACAAUUCAGUUGUCAGUGAUUCAUUAUUCUGCAGGCUUCUAACAUUACUGCUUCAUUAGUACCUGCAAUUGACUGUUGUCAACAGGAUUGUGCGUGAUAAAUGGUAUAGAUAAAACUUAGAGUCUGUGAGCCCUAACAAUCUAGAUGAGUGAUAGAAAAUAUAUUUUGCAUUAUUUUAAUAUAUAGUUUUUCUCCUUUUAUUGGCUACACUGUGGCCAGCAGCAUGGUUUAUCAUGAACCUUGAUGCUUUGCCAACAUGUAUUUGAUGAGAAGUAUUAGCCACCACCAAGACAUAUUUUAGCUAUGUAGACAGUCCCAUACCAGCUGUGAAUUCUUAACAUAUCUCAGCCUGAACAACUGGGAAAAUUAUGAAACCAGUUUACAGACUCAGAAAAAAAUACUGUAUUAUCAUUAUGGAUAAACCACAGUUUUAAACAGUGAGAUGUAUCUUUAGCAACUUUAUUAUGGACCAAGACAAUGAAGAGACUUUGAAUAACUUGAAUACAUAAAGUCCAAAGAGUGGAUUUCAUCAGCUUCAGACCUUUAAGGGACAACUGCAAGCAUUUGACCUGAAGUACCUAAACACUCCAAAGAAAGAGUUUUGCUUUGUAAUCUUGUACCAAAUUUUGCAGUUCCCAUAAUUCAACCCAGAUGAUAAAUUAUUUUAAUUCAGAGACUGCAGAAACAAAAAAUGUUUUCUUUUAGAAAUGUCAUCUUUUAAAAUUGCUUUUACCAUUUAUUGAAUUUUUUUUCUGCUAUUUUAGAAAUUUUAUAAUAAAAUUUGAAGAAGAUGUGCAUAUGCUUAUAGACAGAUAUUCUGUCUUUUAUUGUACAAGAUACCUUUCUGGUUUUAGAAAUUAAAUUGAGGAGGUCUGUCUUCUCAGUUUGGAGCAAAAAAUAUCUAGGAGAGCUGCAAUUUAUAUUAAUAUAUUGCAAUAAAAUUUCAUGUUAUUUAUUGGGACUUAGUAAACUGUCAAAAUUUGUGACACUUUAAAGUCCCUGAAAUGUAAAAAUCUGGUGUCUCUGUCCUUGCUAGUUGAGUAGCUUUAAAAUACAUGGGCAGACUCAUCAUCAUAUUAUUCAUUUUUUUUAAAGUGUCACACUCAUGAGUGCAACAAAAUUAUGCUACAACAAACCUAGUAUUGCAGGGAACUGGGCCUAAGAAAAUAACUGUUCUAAUGCACGUUAUUUCCUGUAGCACUCCCCAAGGGGUAUUUUAUGAGUGACAAAGGUCUAUCAGGUGAGGACACUGGUCAAGUGUUGGCUGAAGAGUUCCACCAGAAAAGGGCAGCAUUAACUUGAAAUGAAAAACAGUAAGCUAGAUCCUAAUUUGAGAUAAAAAUGUCUUCAUAAAUUAUAUUCUCUUUAAUUUGAAGUGUAAUUCAAACUUAAUAUAUCCUUCCCAAGGGUAGUCAGCAGUUUUCUACAGAAAUUGCUGUGCUGAGUUCCCCAUUUAGCCACACAUUGCUAGAUGCAAUGGGAGAUCACAAAGCCUUCUGACUGGCCAGCUGCUAACAUUCCAGGACUGCAGGACAGUAAAAAUAUACAAUAAUUUCCUCAUUAAGAGUUUAAAAAGUAUUCCCUGAUUUUGUUUAAAAAGUAACUUCAAAUUAGUAAUUUUGCCUUUUGAUUAUUUAGAAUAAUUGCAAAUUUGUAUUAAAGUAUUUUUAUUAUUUGUACUUCCUGGGUUUAUUUUUGUUUGUUAGGACACUCUAUUCUUUAUUUUACCACAUGAUCCUACUUUUUUAUUUGCUUUAGUUCUUGUUACUUUCAACUGUGUGAAAUGGAUCCACAGACAUCCAGCAGGAAGCGUUUGUAGGUCAGUGACUAAUUUUUCCAGGCCCAUUUUGCAGACUGGUGAUUUAUACCAACUCUAUUUAUAGAGAAAAUAUGACUUUUUAAACAUACAAGCUUACUCUUCUCACAUUGGCAUUUCUUCUGUCAGCUGAUAUAUCUGCUUGUUAAGUGAUGAUGGCAGCAAAGUUAGGGAUUUACACAAGAGGCAAAAUGCAUUUCAAUGUACAAGAAUUUGUUUCACAUUUAAUGAGAGGUACUGGCACUGUCUGAGUGAAGCAAUGUUAGUGUGCCCAUCAGGAGUACCACAAUAGGAUAGAAUAUGUAUGAUUACAGAGUAAUACAGCCAUUUUAUUUAUUUGGUUCCCUUUCCUAUGACACAUGAACAACUUGCUGUUUUAAAGAUUUUAGUCUUAAAAAUACUCUUUAAUACACUGAGUUUAUAUUGUUCCCAUUACACUGAAAGGAAUCUGAGAAACAAGGAUGAAGGGAUUUUCAAAAGUCUUGUACACAGUCUGCAAUGGAGCAAAAAACUGAAUUUGGGUUUCUUGACUACAUGCAAAUCAGUGUAUGGUUAUUUGUGAAAAUAAAGCAAGCAGUACAGCUCUCUCUGUGACUAUGUAGUUUAAAAUGUAGUAACAAGCAGAAAGAGUUCAGGCUUUCUCUUCAGAUCACCUAUGAUGUGUCUGACAGCAACUGAAGUAAAAAUAAAGCAAACUUCACCUGGUUAAAGGAGAAAGUUUUUCCUUCCUUUUUUGCCAAAGUAGUAGAAAUUUAUUCUAAUGAUCAUGCCACCUUUUGCUGUAUUUGAGGUAAAAAUUUUAAAUGUUCAUAUGGGAGCCUCAAUUUCAAUUCUGUAAGAUUGGUUUUGUCUUGGAUAUUUUUUCAUUGAGAGGGAAAGGACCCUGUAAAAAAUACAAAUAAUUGAAUGUUUUAAUCACAUGUGUAGGCCAGCAUUUCUGCUCAAAGGACAGAGAUAGCAAUGUCCAUUCAUGGUGGACAGAGUUCAGUGUUCAAACAGAAAAUGAAGAAAAACUUUUGGUCCAUUUAGGUGCAUAGCUUUCAAUCUUACACUAUUUUUCAAAGUACUGCCUAACACCAUGCAGGACCUGAGGAAAUUGAACAAAAUCUUUAAGAAAUACACACUCAAAAUGAUAUAUCUGCUGUUUGUUAAGUACAUUAAUUAAUUUUUGGUUCAUUACCUCUCAGUUUGAUAUUUCCAUUUUCUGCAUUUUCCAGGCAUAUACACAGAAACUUAGGGGAUUUGUCUUGAGAAGGGUGAUUUUUGACCUCUCUGCAAUUCUAAAUAAGUUGCUAUAGGUAUUUAUAAUUGCGGUUAGUACCUUGGUAAAAAUCAACAAGGUUCAUGCCUGGACAAUUCUCUAUUGAAAAGACAUUUGCACACUUCAGGAGCUUUAAUUUUCAUACUGAAAAUUUCCACAUUCUUUCAUUUCACCUCCUGAUCUGAAAGUUAACUGAGAAAAGUUUAUUUUAUUUUCAUUCAAUAUAGAUGUUAAUAUUUAGCAGAACUUUACUCAGUUUGAGAAUGUGUUUCACAGAACAGUUCUUUAGAUUAGUCAGUACAGAUCACCCUACAUAGCUUGAUUCCCUGGCUCUGUUAACUUUUCUUCACAUCUGUUCUUCAAACAAAGCUUUGUUGUUCUAGUUAAAAAGGCUGGUCUUCUAGGGAGCUGUAGGCUAAAGUAAUAAACUUUGCUGAUGCUCUUCAUAUAGAAGGCUCAGCCUGAGCACAUCUAUGUACAGACACAUGCUUUUCUGGUGAGCUUUAUUUCCAAAUACUUGAGCCCCUUGCAUAUUAGCCUAUAUUAGUUCACAAUACAGGAUUUGUAAGCUCAUACUUUUACUAGGUAUUUAGAGUUGGGUACAAAUGUGGGUGUUUUUUUUUUAUUUCCUUAGAUGAAUUUGGGAUAAAUAAUUUCUAUCUGAACAUGCUAUCCCAGAUUGCUGGACCUGGUUCAGAUCUCUCUCUUAGUGUAAACUAGGACUAGCUUAAUUGAAACUAAAGAAGAUGGAUUUUAUUAGACUUGUAUGAAAUCAGAACAGAUCAACAGAUAUGUCUUUACAGAAUGGGUUCUCUCACAAGCAAAAAGGACUAAAACAGAGUAGGCUCUUAUUCAUACUCCAUAUAAACUCUAGCAGGCAAAGUGCUUUGUGGCACCACUGCCUGUUUUUAGACACUGUUUUGUGUAGUUAGGCUUUUCUCUACUAGAGGUUUUAUUGUUCAAGAAGGGGUACUCCCACCCUUGCUCAUAGUCAUCAAGCCAUACUAUUGGGCAAUUAAUGCUCUUUACGUGCCAAGAUCUCAGACUAAGAAAAGGCAGCCAAUCCUGAUAUAGGAAGACACACACUGGCACCAAAAAAAUAUCUAACUAGGGAGACAAUGAAGAGAGAGAGAAACACAGAAAGAGACUGUAUGGAAUUGUGCUCUAUCUGCCUAUGUCAGUAGCAUCAGGGGCAAUGUUGUUUUUCCCCAGUGGUUUUCCAAUAUAGUUACUCCAUUCACUGAUGAAUGAAGAGUAUGUGAAACUGUGCCAAAGCUAAUCCAAUUGAAUUCCACCCAGCUGGUUAAAUCCAAUUGCCCAUGCCUUCCUUCAUAGUGCAAAAGCAUCCACGGUACAAUUUGCUAAACUGACCCCUCCUCUCCCAAUUCCCAUGGCAGAUCUAUGCUGUAUGGGUCAUCUUCCCUUGUAUGCAUAAUGCAUGGGUUUCUGGCUCCUUCCAAGUACAGAUCUUACCUUGCUCCACCCCUGAAAAUUAGAAAUAGUUAUAUAUAAAUAUUCCUGUAUAGUUGUUCUUGAAGUGGUUCACCUAAACCAAUGAACAAUCUCCCUAGCUGAGGGGGAAAGUACCUCUUGCUGCCGUGAUUUCAAGCUGGUGAAUAAUAUGGCAAUAAUAAUGAAAAAUAAUAUAAUUAAACUUAUCUGGGAUAAGAGAAAACUCUCUUAAUCCCGGAAGAAUCAACAUCCUGAGCAAAGGGGAAAUCUGCCACAGGAGUAUUGCAUCCAGAUCCAUGGGGGUGGGAAUCUAAGGCAAGAUCCACAAGGGCAUUCUCUGGAGGAACACAGUGACAAGCUUUGCUGUGUGGGUUGGGUCAGAAUCGAGCAUGAUGCAUUCUGAGCUUGCCUUGAGGAAGAAAGUAUUUUACUGCUACUGAAUUUAGGCUUGUAACUAUAAAUGUAAGUAAUAACACAUAGAAUUAUCAGAGGGAUAAUAAUUAACCUUCCUCAGGUGUGUUCAUCACUGUGAUUUUAGUUGAUUUAGAAUUUAAUAUUAUAGUAAAAAGAGAUUAAGCUAUUACAGAGUUUUUGGUAUGACCCAGUUGACCAGAUGGAAAAUGGUGACAAGUGGUGUCCUUCAGGAGUCCAUACUGGGACCAGUGCUGUUUAAUAUCUUCAUUAAUGAUAUUGACAGUGGCAUUGAGAGCACCCUCAGCAGGUUUGCUGAUGACACCACGCUGGCUGGUGUGGUUGAUAUGCCAGAAGGAUAGGAUGCCAUCCAGAGGGACCUGGACAAGCUGGAGAGGUGGGCCCAGGUGAACUUCAUGAGGUUCAACAAGGCCAAGUGCAGGGUCCUGCACCUGGGUCAGGGCAACCAGAGAUAACAGUAGAGGCUGGGAGAAGAUAUGCUAAAGAGCAGUCCUAUGGAAAAAGACCUGUGGGUGGUAGUGGAUCAAAAGUUGGACAUGAGCCAGCAACGUGCAAUUGCAGCUCAGAAGGCCAACUGCAUCCUGGGCUGCAUCAAAAGAAGUGUGGCCAGCAGAUCAGGAGAGGUGAUUCUGCCCCUCUACUUUGCCCUGGUGAGACCUCACCUGCAGUACUGUGUCCAGCUCUGGAGCCCCCAACACAGCCAGGACAGGAACUUGUUGGAAUGUGUCCAGAGGAGAGCAACAAAAAUUAUCAGAGGGCUGGAGCACCUCUCUUCUGAAGACAGGCUGAGAGAGUUGAGGUUGUUCAGCCUGAAGAGCAGAAGACUCCAGGGGAACCUUAUAGCAACCUUCUAAUACCUCAUAGGGGCCUGUAAGAAGGCUGGGGAAGACCUGUUCAUAAGGGCAUGUAACAAUGGGACAAGGGGUAAUGGUUUUAAGCUAGAAAAGUGUAGUUUUGGCUGGAUGUUAGGAAAAAGUUAUUUGAGGGUGGUGGAUCACUGGAACAGGUUACCUAGAGAGGUGGUGGAGGCCCCAUCCUUGGAGACAUUCAAGGUCAGGCUUGAUGAGGCACUGAGCAACCUCUUCUAGUUGGAAAUGUACCUGCUUAUUGAAGGGGGGUUUAGAGCAAAUGUGUGCCCAAAUAGGAAGGUAUUGUGUGACACAGCUUUCUCAGACUGCAUUGGAAAGACAGCAGAAUCAAAAGAUCUGGUUGUCACCAAUCACGUACCAUAAGGAUUUCUUUUUAAACUGUGCUUCUUAUGUUUGGCUUGCAAGCAGAAAGUAGUAAUGGAUUAAAUAAAAUUCAUUAUUUUAUCUAUUCAAAAUAGAUUAAAAGCUUACCUAAGCAAAACUGUGACCCGACCUACAUCUGCUGGUCUGAAACAGAUUUUUCAACAAUGUUCCAGGAAGACUUCAAGCACAAAAUAUAAUGGAUCACAUAAUUAAUACUUAACCUAUUAAAUUCCAUUUUCUUCUGUGUAGUGGAGAUGCUACAGAUUUAAAAAUAUCUUUGUGCAGGAAUAAGCCCUUUGUAAACAGAGAUACCAGAGUGCUGACCAGUCUUGAAAUCCUUGGCCUUAGUUAAGGAGCUUUAUGGUGUUCCUCAGCUGAUGCAUGAAGAUGCUCAGGAGGGCAGACUCAUUAAAAUACAUCAUCUUAAACCUCAAGAAUGGAAUGUUCUCUAAUUAAGGAGAGACACAAAAGAUCUUGUGACAUACAUGGCAUCUAAGCAUGUCAGUAAGCUCUUAUGUACCAGCAGGAGACCAUUACCUUAGAGCAGCAUUCCUUCUCUUUGACUUUAAAUAUGUAUUGUCAUUAGAAUACACUUCAGCAAGCUUUUAGGGUGAAGAGAAGAGGAACAGAAGUAUAUGAAAAAUUCAGAACAAAAGAAUGCAAGGUAGGAAUAGCUACCUAUGAAGCCACAUAGUGAUUACAUGGUCACAACUGAUGAUUGCAACUUUUAAAUGCUUAAUAUUUAAAAGCUUUUUAAAUGUUUACUUUUAGAAUAUUAGUUUAAAAUACAAACCAAAGUUUAAAUAAUUCCUUUUUGAUGAAGAAAACAUGCCCUUUUAAGUUCUGCUUAUCUACUUAGAGAAACAGGCUUUGCAUUUUACCCAUUUCCAUCAUUACGUUAUUGCUUGUUUUGUUUCAAAGCUUAUGAAAAUUGUGGAAAAAGUAUAAAUUCCAAGAUUUGACAAAUGAUUUGCCACAAUAGAUGUAGAGCUGUUAAGAAGAUUCUAAGUAAUUAGGGGUAAUGACAUAUUUGCUGUAUGCAUGCCUAGAAAAUUUAGCGGGAUUGGUACAGCAAGACAAGGCAACACAAUGGAUUCCCCAUUGACAUUCCCCAAGCAUGUAUUUAGAAGACAAUGGCACUAUUGCCCUAGCAGUAGUCAUGCUGGGAGACGACUGGUCAAAAAGGCCAUAAAUGGGUUAGAAAGUGUCUCCAGUUCCUGCAGGUAGGAUUAAACAGGGCAGGUCAGGGAGCCACAGCAGGCAAGCAACCAGAUAAUUCUACAGUGAUGUCUCCAGCUCUGUUGAGGUUCUGUGAGAUCUGGUAAGCGAGGCAUUUCAGUAACUGUGUGUUAUUCUAUUGCAUGUAUACUAAGAUGAUUUGUAUUUGAAAUUUUCUUACUGCUGCUUAUGCCCAUUAGAGAUUUAAUCGGUGCUGCAGACGAGGACAGUUUAUGCCCUGGCCUAGUGUGAGCAGAAAAGCAGGCUGCAAGCAGGCUCAGCUGACAGCUGAAGAGGAGGGUGUGGUCCAAAGGAGGAGAAUGAAGUGCCCUCAGCAUGCAAGGGCCUACACGGUGGUGGACAUGACCAUGAGUUACCAUGAGGUCCUACAAGAUAAUAUUACUAAAGGAGAGCACCAGCAAAUACUUUAUUGCCUUUUGUUUAGAUGCAAACUACUGGAGACAGUAAUAAAACAUGUUAAACCUAUUAUUAUUCAUCUUAAACUAUGAAAACACAAAGGGACGAUGCAACUCACCAACCCAUGUGUCUGGGAGCGUCACAAAGUUGAAGAAAACAUCCUCAAAAUAGGUUGGUGUUUUGUUUUUGUUUUUAUUAUUUUUUUAAUUCUUUCUGUUUCUCUGUACCCCAUCAGGGUACACUUGCAUCAAAUAAACGUUCAAAGAUAGUGA
Molecule: long non-coding RNA, 9594 nt
Organism: Apus apus (common swift)
Lineage: Eukaryota; Metazoa; Chordata; Aves; Apodiformes; Apodidae
Exons: 2
Source: RefSeq, a predicted model, not a curated record